Molecule: ribosomal RNA, 2851 nt
Filed under: Streptococcus pneumoniae
Lineage: Bacteria; Bacillati; Bacillota; Bacilli; Lactobacillales; Streptococcaceae
Description: 23S ribosomal RNA
Rfam family: Bacterial large subunit ribosomal RNA
Source: RNAcentral
UUAAGUUAAUAAGGGCGCACGGUGGAUGCCUUGGCACUAGGAGCCGACGAAGGACGUGACAAACGACGAUAUGCCUUGGGUAGCUGUAAGUAAGCGAUGAUCCAGGGAUUUCCGAAUGGGGGAACCCAACAGGUAAUACCUGUUACCUACAUCUGUUAAGGAUGUGAGGAGGAAGACGCAGUGAACUGAAACAUCUAAGUAGCUGCAGGAAGAGAAAGCAAAAGCGAUUGCCUUAGUAGCGGCGAGCGAAACGGCAGAAGGGCAAACCGAAGAGUUUACUCUUCGGGGUUGUAGGACUGCAAUGUGGACUCAAAGAUUAUAGAAGAAUGAUUUGGGAAGAUCAGCCAAAGAGAGUAAUAGCCUCGUAUUUAAAAUAGUCUUUGUACUUAGCAGUAUCCUGAGUACGGCGGGACACGUGAAAUCCCGUCGGAAUCUGGGAGGACCAUCUCCCAACCCUAAAUACUCCCUAGUGACCGAUAGUGAACCAGUACCGUGAGGGAAAGGUGAAAAGCACCCCGGGAGGGGAGUGAAAUAGAACCUGAAACCGUGUGCCUACAACAAGUUCGAGCCCGUUAAUGGGUGAGAGCGUGCCUUUUGUAGAAUGAACCGGCGAGUUACGUUAUGAUGCGAGGUUAAGUUGAAGAGACGGAGCCGUAGGGAAACCGAGUCUGAAUAGGGCGCCUUAGUAUCAUGACGUAGACCCGAAACCAUGUGACCUACCCAUGAGCAGGUUGAAGGUGCGGUAAGACGCACUGGAGGACCGAACCAGGGCACGUUGAAAAGUGCUUGGAUGACUUGUGGGUAGCGGAGAAAUUCCAAACGAACUUGGAGAUAGCUGGUUCUCUCCGAAAUAGCUUUAGGGCUAGCGUCGACAUUAGAGAUUCUUGGAGGUAGAGCACUGUUUGGGUGAGGGGUCCAUCCCGGAUUACCAAUCUCAGAUAAACUCCGAAUGCCAAUGAAUUAUGGUCGGCAGUCAGACUGCGAGUGCUAAGAUCCGUAGUCGAAAGGGAAACAGCCCAGACCACCAGCUAAGGUCCCAAAAUAAUUGUUAAGUGGAAAAGGAUGUGGGGUUGCACAGACAACUAGGAUGUUAGCUUAGAAGCAGCUAUUCAUUCAAAGAGUGCGUAAUAGCUCACUAGUCGAGUGACCCUGCGCCGAAAAUGUACCGGGGCUAAAACAAUUUACCGAAGCUGUGGAUACCUUUAUAGGUAUGGUAGGAGAGCGUUCUAUGUGUGAUGAAGGUAUACCGUGAGGAGUGCUGGAACGCAUAGAAGUGAGAAUGCCGGUAUGAGUAGCGAAAGACAGGUGAGAAUCCUGUCCACCGUAAGACUAAGGUUUCCAGGGGAAGGCUCGUCCGCCCUGGGUUAGUCGGGACCUAAGGAGAGACCGAAAGGUGUAUCCGAUGGACAACAGGUUGAUAUUCCUGUACUAGAGUAUGUAGUGAUGGAGGGACGCAGUAGGCUAACUAAAGCAGACGAUUGGAAGAGUCUGUCUAAGCAGUGAGGUGUGAAUUGAGUCAAAUGCUUAAUUCUAUAACAUUGAGCUGUGAUGGGGAGCGAAGUUUAGUAGCGAAGUUAGUGACGUCACACUGCCAAGAAAAGCUUCUAGCGUUUAAACAUACUCUACCCGUACCGCAAACCGACACAGGUAGUCGAGGCGAGUAGCCUCAGGUGAGCGAGAGAACUCUCGUUAAGGAACUCGGCAAAAUGACCCCGUAACUUCGGGAGAAGGGGUGCUGACUUUAAGUCAGCCGCAGUGAAUAGGCCCAAGCAACUGUUUAUCAAAAACACAGCUCUCUGCUAAAUCGUAAGAUGAUGUAUAGGGGGUGACGCCUGCCCGGUGCUGGAAGGUUAAGAGGAGUGCUUAGCGUAAGCGAAGGUAUGAAUUGAAGCCCCAGUAAACGGCGGCCGUAACUAUAACGGUCCUAAGGUAGCGAAAUUCCUUGUCGGGUAAGUUCCGACCCGCACGAAAGGCGUAAUGAUUUGGGCACUGUCUCAACGAGAGACUCGGUGAAAUUUUAGUACCUGUGAAGAUGCAGGUUACCCGCGACAGGACGGAAAGACCCCAUGGAGCUUUACUGCAGUUUGAUAUUGAGUGUCUGUACCACAUGUACAGGAUAGGUAGGAGUCUAAGAGAUCGGGACGCCAGUUUCGAAGGAGACGCUGUUGGGAUACUACCCUUGUGUUAUGGCCACUCUAACCCAGAUAGGUGAUCCCUAUCGGAGACAGUGUCUGACGGGCAGUUUGACUGGGGCGGUCGCCUCCUAAAAGGUAACGGAGGCGCCCAAAGGUUCCCUCAGAAUGGUUGGAAAUCAUUCGCAGAGUGUAAAGGUAUAAGGGAGCUUGACUGCGAGAGCUACAACUCGAGCAGGGACGAAAGUCGGGCUUAGUGAUCCGGUGGUUCCGUAUGGAAGGGCCAUCGCUCAACGGAUAAAAGCUACCCUGGGGAUAACAGGCUUAUCUCCCCCAAGAGUUCACAUCGACGGGGAGGUUUGGCACCUCGAUGUCGGCUCGUCGCAUCCUGGGGCUGUAGUCGGUCCCAAGGGUUGGGCUGUUCGCCCAUUAAAGCGGCACGCGAGCUGGGUUCAGAACGUCGUGAGACAGUUCGGUCCCUAUCCGUCGCGGGCGUAGGAAAUUUGAGAGGAUCUGCUCCUAGUACGAGAGGACCAGAGUGGACUUACCGCUGGUGUACCAGUUGUCUUGCCAAAGGCAUCGCUGGGUAGCUAUGUAGGGAAGGGAUAAACGCUGAAAGCAUCUAAGUGUGAAACCCACCUCAAGAUGAGAUUUCCCAUGAUUAUAUAUCAGUAAGAGCCCUGAGAGAUGAUCAGGUAGAUAGGUUAGAAGUGGAAGUG